GCGGGAGAGGCAGAGUGGCCAAAUGCGCAAGGUUCAGAGCCUUGUCUCUUAGUGGGUACGCGUGUUCGAAUCACGUCUCCCGCA
Molecule: transfer RNA, 84 nt
Filed under: Candidatus Woesearchaeota archaeon
Lineage: Archaea; Nanobdellati; Candidatus Woesearchaeota
Description: tRNA-Leu
Rfam family: tRNA
About the family: Transfer RNA (tRNA) molecules are approximately 80 nucleotides in length. Their secondary structure includes four short double-helical elements and three loops (D, anti-codon, and T loops).
Source: RNAcentral